Molecule: ribosomal RNA, 519 nt
Filed under: uncultured bacterium
Lineage: Bacteria
Description: bacterial SSU rRNA
Rfam family: Bacterial small subunit ribosomal RNA
Source: RNAcentral
AGAGUUUGAUUAUGGCUCAGGAUGAACGCUAGCUACAGGCUUAACACAUGCAAGUCGAGGGGCAGCAUUGGAGUAGCAAUACUUCAGAUGGCGACCGGCGCACGGGUGAGUAACACGUAUCCAACCUGCCGCUUACUCGGGGAUAGCCUUUUCGAAAGAAAGAUUAAUACCCGAUGGUAUAAAGAGUUCGCAUGUUCUCUUUAUUAAAGAAUUUCGGUAAGCGAUGGGGAUGCGUUCCAUUAGAUUGUUGGCGGGGUAACGGCCCACCAAGUCUACGAUGGAUAGGGGUUCUGAGAGGAAGGUCCCCCACAUUGGAACUGAGACACGGUCCAAACUCCUACGGGAGGCAGCAGUGAGGAAUAUUGGUCAAUGGACGAGAGUCUGAACCAGCCAAGUAGCGUGAAGGAUGACUGCCCUAUGGGUUGUAAACUUCUUUUAUAAGGGAAUAAAGUGAGGGACGUGUCCCUUUUUGUAUGUACCUUAUGAAUAAGGAUCGGCUAACUCCGUGCCAGCAGCAGC